GUCCAUUACAGUAUAUGUUGUUCAUAUUUACAUAAAUAAUGUAGUAAAAAUUGUUAAAGAAAGUCAGAAACUUCUCAAAUAUAUUUGCGAACUAGAUAAUCACUUUGCAUGUGCGACUCAAUGCCAGACGAUUUUCCUUUAAACAUGCUGCAACUGAUACUGCAUAGAACUUUAGUUGGAACAUAAGUUCUUAUAAAAGACUUAUUUCAAAUUAAAAACAGCUUCUUUUUUAUAGAAUGCAGAUUUGCUCAUGUCUGCCAUUUCACGCGCAAAAAUACUUAAAUUGUUAUAAAGUCCUUCUUUUCUCAAUAAUUUUUGAUUUGGCAAUGAAUAAAUCAGUUGCAGAGAAGCCAAAUCUGUGAAAUUAUAAACACAAGACAACAUUUUUCUCAUGUAUAUACACGAGGUUAAAAAAAACAACCAGGACACCAGCUCAAAAUUCCGUUACAAUAUAGUCCUGAUAUAAUGAGAUUGUACUCUCUCUUCUCGAGAAAUAAAUAGCAAUUGAAGUACUACAUACCUUGCUUGAUUCAAUAUGUAAAUAUUCCUGCGUCGAAAGCGCGGUAUCCAUAAAAAAAUAUGCAAAUUUUCGCCCAUAAAGAAGCUCCAACCAUUGGAAUAUUUGCA
Paramuricea clavata is the source of this 627-nucleotide non-coding RNA. Lineage: Eukaryota; Metazoa; Cnidaria; Anthozoa; Malacalcyonacea; Plexauridae. The record is from the annotation of a GenBank genome assembly.